UAAAUGUUUGGUUUUAGCUUAAAUUUUUACAUUAUUAUUAAAAUUGUAUGAAAGUUAGGGCGCGAUUUGAAUAACUUAAUUAAAUAUUAGGUUGCAGCUAAAGGGGAAAUAAAAUUAUAAAUCUUACGGUCUCAGCAUGAAAUAUUAUAAACAUAAUAUAUAAGAGUAUGAUAUAGUAAUAAUACAAAAAUCUGAUAAAUAUUUGUGCCAGCAUUCGCGGUUAUACUUUAAGAUUGAGUAAAAAAUUUUAGGUUAUAGUUAAAUGAGUAGAUUAAAUAAAAUAUAAACAAUAAAGGGUAAAAUCAGGAUAUUGUUUUGUAUAAAAGGAAAUCUUAAUUGAAGCUAAAAAAAUUUAGUAAUAAACUAGGAUUAGAUACCCUAUUAUUCUAAAAUAAAUUAACCUAAACUAAAUUAGUAAAAGAUAAAUACUUAAAAUUUAAAAAAUUUGGCGGCAGUUUAAUCUUUUCAGAGGAACCUGUUUUAGAAUCGAUAAACCACGAAAAAUCUCACUUGCUUUUGUGUAAACAACAGUUUGUAUACCAUCAUUAUCAGAUAAUUCUUAAAGGAAAAAUUAUUAAAUUUAGUUGUUUAGUAAAAUUAGAUCAUGGUGCAGUCUAUGGGCAAGGUAAAAUGGGUUACAAUAAAUUACUUUAUUGCGGAUUAGUAAAAUAAUUUUAUUAUGAAGAUGGAUUUGAUUGUAUUUUUAGUUUAAUAAGCUAAUAAGAUAUAAGUUCUAAAUUGUGUACAUAUCGCCCGUCGCUUUCAUUUAUAAGUGAAAUAAGUCGUAACAUAGUAGAUGUAUUGGAAAGUGUAUCUGGUAAAAA
RNAcentral lists this non-coding RNA (824 nucleotides) under Chasmagnathus convexus. Lineage: Eukaryota; Metazoa; Arthropoda; Malacostraca; Decapoda; Varunidae. The record is from RNAcentral.